AGUGGCUGACGGGUGAGUAACGCGUGAGAAUCUGCCUUCAGGUCGGGGACAACAGAGGGAAACUUCUGCUAAUCCCGGAUGAGCCUUAGGGUAAAAAAUUUAUUGCCUGGAGAUGAGCUCGCGUCUGAUUAGCUAGUUGGUAAGGUAAAAGCUUACCAAGGCAACGAUCAGUAGCUGGUCUGAGAGGAUGAGCAGCCACACUGGGACUGAGACACGGCCCAGACUCCUACGGGAGGCAGCAGUGGGGAAUUUUCCGCAAUGGGCGAAAGCCUGACGGAGCAAGACCGCGUGGGGGAGGAAGGCUCUAGGGUUGUAAACCCCUUUUCUUUGGGAAGAACAAAAUGACGGUACCAAAGGAAUCAGCCUCGGCUAACUCCGUGCCAGCAGCCGCGGUAAUACGGAGGAGGCAAGCGUUAUCCGGAAUGAUUGGGCGUAAAGCGUCCGCAGGUGGCAAUGUAAGUCUGCUGUCAAAACCCAGGGCUCAACUCUGGUCAGGCAGUGGAAACUACAUAGCUAGAGUUCGGUAGGGGCAAAGGGAAUUCCCGGUGUAGCGGUGAAAUGCGUAGAGAUCGGGAAGAACAUCGGUGGCGAAAGCGCUUUGCUAGACCGAAACUGACACUCAGGGACGAAAGCUAGGGGAGCGAAUGGGAUUAGAUACCCU
This 661-nucleotide ribosomal RNA is filed under the name uncultured bacterium. RNAcentral describes it as "bacterial SSU rRNA". It matches the Rfam family "Bacterial small subunit ribosomal RNA", at positions 94 to 788 of the family's 1533-position model. The record is from RNAcentral.